AGUUGGGUUGGGAACAGGAGGGGUGCCAGUGCACCUCCUGGUCACUGCCAAAGUGCCCUUGAGCAAGGCACCAAACCCCUGACUGCUCGGCGCGCUCCUCCAAGGAGCAGCCCCCUCGUCCUGAGCAUGUGUGUGAUUCGGGCCUGUGAUUAAUGUGUGUGCAACUGUACUAACAGGGUAAAAAUUGUGAAUUUCCCCUCGCGGGAUAAAGAAAGGCAUGUCUUUUU
Molecule: long non-coding RNA, 227 nt
Organism: Etheostoma spectabile (orangethroat darter)
Lineage: Eukaryota; Metazoa; Chordata; Actinopteri; Perciformes; Percidae
Exons: 2
Source: RefSeq, a predicted model, not a curated record